GACGAACGCUGGCGGCGUGCUUAACACAUGCAAGUCGAACGGAAAGGCCCUGCUUUUGUGGGGUGCUCGAGUGGCGAACUGGUGAGUAACACGCGAGUAACCUGCCCUUGACUUUGGGAUAACUUCAGGAAACUGGGGCUAAUACCGGAUAGGAGCUCCUGCUGCAUGGUGGGGGUUGGAAAGUUUCGGCGGUUGGGGAUGGACUCGCGGCUUAUCAGCUUGUUGGUGGGGUAGUGGCUUACCAAGGCUUUGACGGGUAGCCGGCCUGAGAGGGUGACCGGGCAAAAUGGGAAUGAGGAGGCGGCCAGACUCCUACGGGAGGCAGCAGUGGGGAAUAUUGCACAAUGGGCGGAAGCCUGAUGCAGCAACGCCGCGUGCGGGAUGACGGCCUUCGGGUUGUAAACCGCUUUCGCCUGUGACGAAGCGUGAGUGACGGUAAUGGGUAAAGAAGCACCGGCUAACUACGUG
This 468-nucleotide ribosomal RNA is filed under the name uncultured bacterium. RNAcentral's name for it is "partial 16S ribosomal RNA". It matches the Rfam family "Bacterial small subunit ribosomal RNA", at positions 28 to 507 of the family's 1533-position model. The record is from RNAcentral.